Molecule: unclassified non-coding RNA, 716 nt
Filed under: Hevea brasiliensis (rubber tree)
Lineage: Eukaryota; Viridiplantae; Streptophyta; Magnoliopsida; Malpighiales; Euphorbiaceae
Source: RNAcentral
GUGUUCACUGAUUUGGUUUUGGAUUUAAUUUUUGUACAUGGAGAUUCCACUGUUGUGUUACCGAAGUGUCUCAUUGGAUCAAAUUCGGAGUAGUUGUAGCUUGCCUUCCUCUGUCUCAGAUUACAGGUGUUUUAUUAAGCAGAAAACUUUAUCUUCUGUGUAUCGUUUUUCUUUAAAUAGAAGAAAAUGGAGGAAUCCCUUCGCCAAGAUUCGGUGUUGUUCACUGCAUCGAGGGCUACAACCACGCCCUAAGCCGAAACCUUCAAAAUUUGACGCUGAUGUAGAAGAAGAAACUGAUUUGCGAGAUACCCAAAUAAAAAAGCCCAGUGCCAGAGUUUGUAGUCAGUUAGAGAAAUUAGUUCUUUAUGGAAGGUACAGAGAGGCACUUGAGUUGUUUGAGAUCUUUGAGCAGUAUGGUGGGUUUGAUAUGGGCAGUAGCACGUAUGAUGCAUUAGUCAGUGCGUGUAUAGGGUUAAGAUCUAUCCCUGGAGUGAAGAGAGUGUUUAAUUACAUGAUGAGUAAUGGAUUCGAACCUGAUCAGUACAUGAGAAACAGAAUAUUGCUUAUGCAUGUUAAAUGUGGGAUGAUGAUCCAUGCACGUAAAUGGUUUGACGAAAUGCACGAGAGGAAUCUGGUUUCUUGGAACACCAUCAUUGCUGGGCAUGUGGACACAGGGGACUAUGUAGAAGCUUUUAGGCUGUUUCUGAUAAUGUGGG